RNAcentral lists this ribosomal RNA (582 nucleotides) under uncultured bacterium. RNAcentral describes it as "partial 16S ribosomal RNA". It matches the Rfam family "Bacterial small subunit ribosomal RNA", at positions 355 to 932 of the family's 1533-position model. The record is from RNAcentral.
UGGGGAAUAUUGCACAAUGGGCGCAAGCCUGAUGCAGCCAUGCCGCGUGUGUGAAGAGGGCCUUCGGGUUGUAAAGCACUUUCAGCGAGGAGGAAGGUGGUGAGCUUAAUACGCUCAUCAAUUGACGUUACUCGCAGAAGAAGCACCGGCUAACUCCGUGCCAGCAGCCGCGGUAAUACGGAGGGUGCAAGCGUUAAUCGGAAUUACUGGGCGUAAAGCGCACGCAGGCGGUUUGUUAAGUCAGAUGUGAAAUCCCCGGGCUCAACCUGGGAACUGCAUUUGAAACUGGCAAGCUAGAGUCUCGUAGAGGGGGGUAGAAUUCCAGGUGUAGCGGUGAAAUGCGUAGAGAUCUGGAGGAAUACCGGUGGCGAAGGCGGCCCCCUGGACGAAGACUGACGCUCAGGUGCGAAAGCGUGGGGCAGCAAACAGGAUUAGAUACCCUGGUAGUCCACGCUGUAAACGAUGUCGAUUUUGGAGGUUGUGCCCUUGAGGCGUGGCUUCCGGAGCUAACGCGUUAAAUCGACCGCCUGGGGAGUACGGCCGCAAGGUUAAAACUCAAAUGAAUUGACGGGGUCAUAGCUG